Molecule: ribosomal RNA, 1532 nt
Filed under: Kluyvera cryocrescens
Lineage: Bacteria; Pseudomonadati; Pseudomonadota; Gammaproteobacteria; Enterobacterales; Enterobacteriaceae
Description: bacterial SSU rRNA
Rfam family: Bacterial small subunit ribosomal RNA
Source: RNAcentral
AGAGUUUGAUCAUGGCUCAGAUUGAACGCUGGCGGCAGGCCUAACACAUGCAAGUCGAACGGUAACACAGAGAGCUUGCUCUUGGGUGACGAGUGGCGGACGGGUGAGUAAUGUCUGGGAAACUGCCCGAUGGAGGGGGAUAACUACUGGAAACGGUAGCUAAUACCGCAUAACGUCGCAAGACCAAAGUGGGGGACCUUCGGGCCUCACACCAUCGGAUGUGCCCAGAUGGGAUUAGCUAGUAGGUGGGGUAAUGGCUCACCUAGGCGACGAUCCCUAGCUGGUCUGAGAGGAUGACCAGCCACACUGGAACUGAGACACGGUCCAGACUCCUACGGGAGGCAGCAGUGGGGGAAUAUUGCACAAUGGGCGCAAGCCUGAUGCAGCCAUGCCGCGUGUAUGAAGAAGGCCUUCGGGUUGUAAAGUACUUUCAGCGAGGAGGAAGGCAUUAAGGUUAAUAACCUUGGUGAUUGACGUUACUCGCAGAAGAAGCACCGGCUAACUCCGUGCCAGCAGCCGCGGUAAUACGGAGGGUGCAAGCGUUAAUCGGAAUUACUGGGCGUAAAGCGCACGCAGGCGGUCUGUCAAGUCGGAUGUGAAAUCCCCGGGCUCAACCUGGGAACUGCAUUCGAAACUGGCAGGCUAGAGUCUUGUAGAGGGGGGUAGAAUUCCAGGUGUAGCGGUGAAAUGCGUAGAGAUCUGGAGGAAUACCGGUGGCGAAGGCGGCCCCUGGACAAAGACUGACGCUCAGGUGCGAAAGCGUGGGGAGCAAACAGGAUUAGAUACCCCUGGUAGUCCACGCCGUAAACGAUGUCGACUUGGGAGGUUGUGCCCUUGAGGCGUGGCUUCCGGAGCUAACGCGUUAAGUCGACCGCCUGGGGAGUACGGCCGCAAGGUUAAAACUCAAAUGAAUUGACGGGGGCCCGCCACAAGCGGUGGAGCAUGUGGUUUAAUUCGAUGCAACGCGAAGAACCUUACCUACUCUUGACAUCCAGAGAACUUAGCAGAGAUGCUUUGGUGCCUUCGGGAACUCUGAGACAGGUGCUGCAUGGCUGUCGUCAGCUCGUGUUGUGAAAUGUUGGGUUAAGUCCCGCAACGAGCGCAACCCUUAUCCUUUGUUGCCAGCGGUUUCGGCCGGGAACUCAAAGGAGACUGCCAGUGAUAAACUGGAGGGAAGGUGGGGAUGACGUCAAGUCAUCAUGGCCCUUACGAGUAGGGCUACACACGUGCUACAAUGGCAUAUACAAAGAGAAGCGACCUCGCGAGAGCAAGCGGACCUCAUAAAGUAUGUCGUAGUCCGGAUUGGAGUCUGCAACUCGACUCCAUGAAGUCGGAAUCGCUAGUAAUCGUAGAUCAGAAUGCUACGGUGAAUACGUUCCCGGGCCUUGUACACACCGCCCGUCACACCAUGGGAGUGGGUUGCAAAGAAGUAGGUAGCUUAACCUUCGGGAGGGCGCUUACCACUUUGUGAUUCAUGACUGGGGUGAAGUCGUAACAAGGUAACCGUAGGGGAACCUGCGGUUGGAUCACCU